This 72-nucleotide transfer RNA is filed under the name Ornithorhynchus anatinus (platypus). It matches the Rfam family "tRNA". From Rfam's summary of the family: Transfer RNA (tRNA) molecules are approximately 80 nucleotides in length. Their secondary structure includes four short double-helical elements and three loops (D, anti-codon, and T loops). Further hydrogen bonds mediate the characteristic L-shaped molecular structure. tRNAs have two regions of fundamental functional importance: the anti-codon, which is responsible for specific mRNA codon recognition, and the 3' end, to which the tRNAs corresponding amino acid is attached (by aminoacyl-tRNA synthetases). tRNAs cope with the degeneracy of the genetic code in two manners: having more than one tRNA (with a specific anti-codon) for a particular amino acid; and 'wobble' base-pairing, i.e. permitting non-standard base-pairing at the 3rd anti-codon position. The record is from Rfam by way of RNAcentral. Lineage: Eukaryota; Metazoa; Chordata; Mammalia; Monotremata; Ornithorhynchidae.
GGCAGUGUGCUCUAGUGGAAAGAGCACAGUCCUGGGAGUUAGAGGACUUGGGUUCUAAUCCCAGCUCUGUCA